UACGUAGGUCCCGAGCGUUAUCCGGAAUUAUUGGGCGUAAAGGGUGCGCAGGUGGUUAUGUAAGUCUGGUGUGAAAUUUUUGGGCUCAACCCAAAAAGGUCAUUGGAAACUGCAUAACUUGAGAGCAGGAGAGGUAAGUGGAAUUCCUAGUGUAGCGGUGAAAUGCGUAGAGAUUAGGAGGAACACCAGUGGCGAAGGCGGCUUACUGGA
RNAcentral lists this ribosomal RNA (210 nucleotides) under uncultured bacterium. Its description in RNAcentral is "partial 16S ribosomal RNA". It matches the Rfam family "Bacterial small subunit ribosomal RNA", at positions 524 to 733 of the family's 1533-position model. The record is from RNAcentral.